RNAcentral lists this transfer RNA (68 nucleotides) under uncultured Ruminococcus sp. It matches the Rfam family "tRNA". Rfam says of the family: Transfer RNA (tRNA) molecules are approximately 80 nucleotides in length. Their secondary structure includes four short double-helical elements and three loops (D, anti-codon, and T loops). RNAcentral also lists the same sequence under 2 other names. Lineage: Bacteria; Bacillati; Bacillota; Clostridia; Eubacteriales; Oscillospiraceae. The record is from RNAcentral.
CCAGUAGCUCAGUUGGUUAGAGCAUCCGGCUCAUAACCGGACGGUCCGGGGUUCGAGUCCCUGCUGGC